AGAACGAACGCUGGCGGCAGGCCUCAAACAUGCAAGUCUAGGGGGCGUAGCAAUACGUCACCGGCGGACGGGUGCGUAACACGUGGGAAUGUACUUACUGGUUCGGAACAACUCAGGGAAACUUGAGCUAAUACCGAAUGUGCCCGAAAGGGGAAAGAUUUAUCGCCAGUAAAUCAGCCCGCGUCCGAUUAGCUAGUUGGUGGGGUAAAGGCCCACCAAGGCGACGAUCGGUAGCUGUUCUGAGAGGAAGAUCAGCCACACUGGGACUGAGACACGGCCCAGACUCCUACGGGAGGCAGCAGUUGGGAAUCUUGGACAUGGGGGAAACCCUGAUCCAGCCAUGCCGCGUGAGUGAUGAAGGCCUUCGGGUUGUAAACUCUUUCGACGGGGACGAUAAUGACGGUACCCGUAGAAGAAGCUCCGGCUAACUUCGUGCCAGCAGCCGC
RNAcentral lists this ribosomal RNA (446 nucleotides) under uncultured bacterium. Its description in RNAcentral is "SSU rRNA". It matches the Rfam family "Bacterial small subunit ribosomal RNA", at positions 26 to 518 of the family's 1533-position model. The record is from RNAcentral.